CCGGAAUUAUGGGCGUAAAGGGCUCGUAGGCGGUUCGUCGCGUCCGGUGUGAAAGUCCAUCGCUUAACGGUGGAUCCGCGCCGGGUACGGGCGGGCUUGAGUGCGGUAGGGGACACUGGAAUUCCCGGUGUAACGGUGGAAUGUGUACAUAUCGGGAAGAACACCAAUGGCGAAGGCAGGUCUCUGGGCCGUUACUGACGCUGAGGACCAAAGCGUGGGGAGCGAAC
This 227-nucleotide ribosomal RNA is filed under the name uncultured bacterium. Its description in RNAcentral is "partial 16S ribosomal RNA". It matches the Rfam family "Bacterial small subunit ribosomal RNA", at positions 545 to 773 of the family's 1533-position model. The record is from RNAcentral.